GGUAAUGUAGCUCAGUAGUAGAGCCCUUGCCUAGAAUGUUUAAGACCCUGGGUUUGAUCCCCAGCACCACCC
Ictidomys tridecemlineatus (thirteen-lined ground squirrel) is the source of this 72-nucleotide non-coding RNA. Lineage: Eukaryota; Metazoa; Chordata; Mammalia; Rodentia; Sciuridae. The record is from Rfam.